GCUCAGGAUGAACGCUGGCGGCGUGCUUAACACAUGCAAGUCGAGCGAAGCGCUUAAGUCUGAUUCUUCGGAUGAAGACUUUUGUGACUGAGCGGCGGACGGGUGAGUAACGCGUGGGUAACCUGCCUCAUACAGGGGGAUAACAGUUAGAAAUGACUGCUAAUACCGCAUAAGACCACGGUACCGCAUGGUACAGUGGUAAAAACUCCGGUGGUAUGAGAUGGACCCGCGUCUGAUUAGGUAGUUGGUGGGGUAACGGCCUACCAAGCCAACGAUCAGUAGCCGACCUGAGAGGGUGACCGGCCACAUUGGGACUGAGACACGGCCCAGACUCCUACGGGAGGCAGCAGUA
This 352-nucleotide ribosomal RNA is filed under the name uncultured bacterium. RNAcentral's name for it is "bacterial SSU rRNA". It matches the Rfam family "Bacterial small subunit ribosomal RNA", at positions 22 to 356 of the family's 1533-position model. The record is from RNAcentral.